ACACGUGUGUGUGAAAGUAUGUUUGUUUAUUAGAAUAAAACCCUGCAGAUUUAAAUGAUAAACCCUAACAUUACAAGUUUAUAAUAUUGCAGAGUAUUAUACUUUUGUUUAGUGAAGCUGAAAAUGCUAAUUGCUGUCUUGGUUUCCUAAGUUCAUCAUUAUGAAAGCAUUAAUUAAAAGUGUUAAUUUACACACUUGUAUGUGAGAGAAGAGGAGGAGUAGUAGUAGCAGUAGUAGUAAUAGUAAUACCAGUAGCAGCAGCUUAAAAUUUAGAAUUCAGUUAAUAGGAGGGAAAUACAGAUGGAAAGUGUUACGUAUUCUAUAAAUGUUUUAAUAAAAGCCAUUUGUCUUAUAUAAUAUAUAUAAGUGAUGUUCAUUCCAAAAAUCUAACUGCAGAAGUUUUAAAAAGUUAUCAAGAUAUGUCCAUAUUUAGGCAGAGUAUGAGAAGUAACUCAUAUGUUUACGAACCUGUUAAUAUAUACUAAGGCUCCGUUGUUUACUUGAAGAUUAUAUCUUUCAAAGAGUUGUUUAGAAGAAUGUUUCAAGAUUAGCGAAACAUAGUCACAUGCAUCACACACUUACACUCACAUACACAUGCAUAGGGAGGGAGGGAGGUAGAUAGAUAGAUAGAUAGAUAGACAGACAGACAGACAGACAGAUAGAUAGUUAGGUAGAUAGGUAGAUAGACAAGUAGAUAGAUAGAUAGAUAUAGAAAAGGUUGGAUGGAUGGAUAGCUUGCUAGGUAGAUAGAUAAGCAUAUUUUAUAUUAGGUAUUAGAUGGAAAUUAUUUUGAGAUAUAACUCUACCUUUCUCAACAUGUUUAUGAUACCCCAAAGACUUGCUCACAUCUGUGCCAAUUGGCCUUAAAAAUCUUAAAAUGUUGUUAUCUAUUAUUCACCCUCAACAACAUUUAUUCUGUAUGUAGAUACUGUUCGUUUGAAAUUUCAUUGCAAAUUUGCUUUGUUAAUUAGCAUUUGGCACACAUGCAGAUAUCUGUGUGUGUGUGUGGACAAAAAGAAAGACAGAUAGGAUAGGAUGGGGCGAUGAAUAAAUAUCUCUGAAACAUAAAUAGCCGAAUGUAUAGAAAUAUGAUGAGAUGGGGAGAUACUCAUUACACAUGCACACUCACUGGAUAUCCAUAUAUAUAUAUAUAUCCAUCCAACGCAUGCCAGCAUGGAAAGCGAACGUUAAACGACAACGAUGAUGAUAAUAUAUAUGUGUUUGUGUGUUAUUUAAAUCCAUUUGAUUUGGCACAAUGUGUCUUCAAUUUUCACAGACUUCUGGCAGAAGCUCGUCGCUUUCAGGCUAUCCAAAGUCUAACAGAGACUGGCUUCUGCUAAUUGCCUACAAAACAUUAAGUCACAUAGAACUGAAUGAAAACUGUUUUAAGUAAUACAUGUAACUACACUAGAUGUGUUGAAUGCCCUUUUCUUUCAUUUGUCCUAUCAUUCAAGUGUAAUAUAUAUAUAUAUACAUACACACAUGUAUGUGUGUGUAUUUUAGUGUACAUAUAUGUGUAGGUUAAUGAGUAGAGAAAGUGUAAGGUUGUAGACUCUGUAAUCUUGUCUUGUUGAGUAUUUAUCUCUGUACUGUGGUUGUCACAAAGGAACGCUCCCUGUGCAUUCUGUAAAACAGCUGGUUGUAGGAAGGGAAUCCAGCCAAAGAAACCAAUCCCAGUGUAAGGGUGCACACAUUUUCUGGAAACAACUCACAGUGAUUGACCAUGACAACUGACUAAACCCAUGCUAGCAUGGAAAGCAAAUGUAAAAUAAUGAGGAGGAGGAGGAGGAAGAAGACAUAUCUGCCAAAACACACAUCCAUACAUAUUAACAUACACUUUCUUUUUCUGUUUAAAAAAUGAGAGAGUAUCUGUUAGAUUAUAAUUGUAUAAAUUGAUGAUUCGCUCUGCUGUUUGAAUAAUAACAUCAUUUGAGACUCUGAAUAGCAACAGAAUGGAACAUCAGUUUUAUAUAUGUGGAGACGUGUGUGUGUGUGUGUGUAUCUAUGCAUAUACAAAUGUGUAGAUAUGUAUGUCAGUAUACACGUGUAUGUGUAAACACAUGUACGUAUAGAGGUUUAUAUAUUUUUACACAUACACAUAUGUAUAAAUGUAUUAUGUUGGACACAAAUAUAACUGUUUCAAAGUACCUGAAAAUCUGCUGUCAUUUGUUCAAAACUUUAGUUAUGGCAAUUUCAGUUGAUGUGAAAACAUUUUAUUGUUCUCUGAAAUGAAGAAAAUGUGUGUGUGUGUAUUCAUAUUAACCUUAUUACAACCAAUUUAAUACUUUUGAAGACUUGGUCUUUGGAUAUGCUUGUGCCACAUGUUGGCAAUGCUGUUUAUUAACUGCUUUGCAAGCUUUCCUAGUAUUUACAGUGUAAAAGCUUUUUUU
Molecule: long non-coding RNA, 2390 nt
Organism: Octopus sinensis (East Asian common octopus)
Lineage: Eukaryota; Metazoa; Mollusca; Cephalopoda; Octopoda; Octopodidae
Exons: 2
Source: RefSeq, a predicted model, not a curated record